Molecule: long non-coding RNA, 500 nt
Filed under: Homo sapiens (human)
Lineage: Eukaryota; Metazoa; Chordata; Mammalia; Primates; Hominidae
Description: HSALNT0076525
Source: RNAcentral
UCUGUACCUGACUCAUUCAAAAAAUUCUAGAAAUAGUUAAAGGCCUGCCAAAGAAAGGAGUGAAACAGGUACAAAGAAGAAGAUUGGGAACACAAAAAUAUAUUCAAAAACAUUUAUCAGAGCUCUCUGUAAUAUGUUUGAUUGCAUCUGUGUUUGCACUUUGUGAUUGAAAAAUAGUUAAGGGAAUAGUGGUAAUCACUUGUCAGGUUAUUGUGAAAUUUCAAAUUUGAAACAAACAAAAAAGGCAAAAGAAAUUGAAAGAAGUGUGAGUGUUUGAGGAAGACUUCUUUAUUGGGGUUGACAUAUUCCUAGAUAGCACAUAGGAAGUAACCUGAAUAAAAGGCAAGAGGGAAAACAAGAUUAUGAGGAAGAUAAAGACUAUCAAAAUCAGUGAAACUAUGCUGGUGACCAGAAAAACUGAUGGAGAAGAUAAAGGAGAGAAGUUUGAACCAAUAGUGCUAUAAAGGUAUGUCACAAUAAGAGGAGCAAUAAUAAAGUAU